RNAcentral lists this ribosomal RNA (199 nucleotides) under uncultured bacterium. RNAcentral's name for it is "partial 16S ribosomal RNA". It matches the Rfam family "Bacterial small subunit ribosomal RNA", at positions 328 to 544 of the family's 1533-position model. The record is from RNAcentral.
ACGCUCGACACCUACUGGAGGCAGCAGUGGGGAAUAUUGCACAAUGGGGGAAACCCGUGAUGCAGCGACGCCGCGUGGAGGAAGAAGGUCUUCGGAUUGUAAACUCCUGUUGUUGGGGAAAAAGAGGAUGGUACCCAACAAGGAAGUGACGGCUAACUACGUGCCACAGCCGCGGUAAUCUGAGCGGGCGUGGCAAGGC